This 334-nucleotide unclassified non-coding RNA is filed under the name soil metagenome. Its description in RNAcentral is "partial contains 5.8S ribosomal RNA, internal transcribed spacer 2, and large subunit ribosomal RNA". The stretch from base 1 to 120 matches the Rfam family "5.8S ribosomal RNA", at positions 35 to 154 of the family's 154-position model. The record is from RNAcentral.
GAUGAAGAACGUAGCGAAAUGCGAUAAGUAAUGUGAAUUGCAGAAUUCAGUGAAUCAUCGAAUCUUUGAACGCACAUCGCGCCCGCCAGUAUUCUGGCGGGCAUGCCUGUUCGAGCGUCAUUUCAACCAUCAAGCCCUGCUUGCGUUGGGGUCCUGCGGCUGCCCGCAGGCCCUGAAAACCAGUGGCGGGCUCGCUAGUCACACCGAGCGCAGUAAUACAUCUCGCUUUGGGCGUGCGGCGGGUUCUUGCCGUUAAACACCCCCUUUUUACCAAGGUUGACCUCGGAUCAGGUAGGAAUACCCGCUGAACUUAAGCAUAUCAAUAAGCGGAGGA